GAUGAAGAACGCAGCGAAAUGCGAUAAGUAAUGUGAAUUGCAGAAUUCAGUGAAUCAUCGAAUCUUUGAACGCACCUUGCGCCCUUUGGCUAUUCCGAAGGGCAUGCCUGUUUGAGUAUCAUGAACACCUCAACUCUUCACGGCUUGCCGUGAUGAGUUUGGACUUUGGGGGUCUUGCUGGCCUACGAGCCAGCUCCUCUCAAAUGUAUUAGCUUGCCGGUGUUUGGUGGCAUCACAGGUGUGAUAACUAUCUACGCUUGUGGUUUUCCACUAGGUAACCCUCAGCAAUGGAGGUUCACCGGAGCUCACAAAUGUCUCUCCUUGCCAAGGACAGAUUUUGACCAUUUGAUCUCAAAUCAGGUAGGACUACCCGCUGAACUUAAGCAUAUCAAUAAGCGGAGGA
This 403-nucleotide unclassified non-coding RNA is filed under the name soil metagenome. RNAcentral's name for it is "partial contains 5.8S ribosomal RNA, internal transcribed spacer 2, and large subunit ribosomal RNA". The stretch from base 1 to 121 matches the Rfam family "5.8S ribosomal RNA", at positions 35 to 154 of the family's 154-position model. The record is from RNAcentral.